UACGAAGGGGGCUAGCGUUGCUCGGAAUCACUGGGCGUAAAGGGUGCGUAGGCGGGGCUUUAAGUCAGGGGGGAAAUCCUGGAGCUCAACUCCAGAACUGCCUUUGAUACUGAAGAUCUUGAGUUCGGGAGAGGUGAGUGGAACUGCGAGUGUAGAGGUGAAAUUCGUAGAUAUUCGCAAGAACACCAGUGGCGAAGGCGGCUCAUUGGCCCGAUACUGACGCUGAGGCACGAAAGCGUGGGGAGCAAACAGG
This 253-nucleotide ribosomal RNA is filed under the name uncultured bacterium. RNAcentral's name for it is "partial 16S ribosomal RNA". It matches the Rfam family "Bacterial small subunit ribosomal RNA", at positions 524 to 776 of the family's 1533-position model. The record is from RNAcentral.